This is a long non-coding RNA of Eucalyptus grandis, 551 nucleotides long. RefSeq lists it as uncharacterized. The record is from RefSeq and is a predicted model, not a curated record. NCBI's taxonomy places the organism in Eukaryota, Viridiplantae, Streptophyta, Magnoliopsida, Myrtales, Myrtaceae. The transcript has 2 exons.
AUCCGGCUCGUCAUCUUGUCGGCAACGUUUUCCCAUCGACUCUGCCACUGUCUCCAGAUCGCGAUCGAGGCCGAAAGCUCGGGAGAAGCGACCGCUGGAGCGGCGAAUGAUCUGCUGCGCGGAUCUCCACUUUCUAUUCUCCAUCUCGUAAGCUCGAGCUGAACGCAGCUUCCGGCAGCCAUGGCGCUCAACCUCCGCCAGAAGCAAACAGGUGUCGCUCAGUGAAAGUGUCAACAUCUUGAUGGUGGAUCUCCCUUGAUGCAACCUUAGAUGUCUGAUGACUGCAGCGACAGAAACUGGACAAGCAGAUUUACGGUGUAUCUUCUGCAUGAAACUCAUCCAGGAAAGAGUGGGUGGACACAAAAUACCUUCUUGAGCAAUCCCAGAGUUCUGCGUCCUUGUGCUUCUCAAGAUACUUGUAUAUCAUUUUCUCUGUGUAGGUUGUUAUACUCGAUGUGCAGGCAUUUAUUGUUGAAAAAGAGACAUUCUGCUGUCCCUUAGGUACUCACGUGAUUUGCGCUUAUCGAACACCUUUCGUUGUUUGUGAGUUA